UGGAACUUUGCCAUUCUCAUUGAAAAUGAAGCUUCCGUCUCUGGGAUCAAAGUAGGUGCUGCAGGAGGGGGUGGGGCCUGUCUAAGGAGUAGGCGGGGCUAGUUGGUAGAGCUCACCCGGCAGUUCUGGGACCGCAUGGAGGGCGGUGAGCGCUUCUCCCAAGGUAGAACCAGCGGCACUGGAGCGCCGGCGUCCUCUGCCAGCACCCCUUCCUCGCCGGCCGGCACUUCGACUGCAGACUUUUGCCCACGCUUCAAGACUUAGGGCGCAGUGCCUUUCAGAAUUUGCCCACUCGUCUGGUAUAACUAGUUCUGAUGGCUGGGAAUAAAGGAAGAGGACGUGCUGCUUAUACCUUUAAUAUUGACGCUGCUGGAUUUAGCAAAGGUGAAGUUACCUGAUGUAGUUAGUGUUGAAACCGCCCCCACUAUUUCCUGAUACAGAUUAUAAAGCAGUACCACUGAAAGCAGGAGAAGGUAAAGAAUAUAUGCUGGCUUUGAAACAGGAGUUGAGAGAAAAAAAUGCCUUAUUUUAUUGAAACACCUGAAGAAAGACAAGAUAUUGAAAGGUAUAGUAAAAGAUAUAUGAAGGUGUACAAGGAAGAAUGGAUACCAGAUUGGAGAAGACUUCCAAGAGAGAUGAUGCCAAGAAAUAAACAUAAAAAAGACCACAAACUCAAAAAGGCAAAAGACGCAGGCAAAGGCACUUCACUAAUACUGCCAAUGUUUUGAAAAAAAUUGAGGAAUCGGAAAAGAGAGGUGAUGGUGAAAAAUCAGAUGAGGAAAAUGAAGAGAAAGAAGGAAGCAAAGAGAAAAGUAAAGAAGGUGAGGAUGACAACGAUGAUGCUGCUGCAGAACAGGAGGAAUAUGAUGAAGACCAAGAAGAGGAAAAUGACUACAUUAAUUCAUACUUUGAAGAUGGAGAUGACUUUGGCGCAGACAGUGAUGACAACAUGGAUGAAGCAACCUAUUCGGCAUGAAAAUUUUCAAAAAAUAUUUUUAUGAUACAGCUUCUCUGAAUAUUUGGACAGAAUUGUUUUGUAUUUUAUUUCUGAUAAGGUAUAAGUAUUUAUGUUUUUGUUUUUUUUGGACAAAUAUUUGUUACCAAAAUAUUCAAAACCACUUUGAGUUUACAUACUAGGUACCUUACAAAUUAGUCCCUGACACUCGGACAUUCCUUCUAAACACCUCUGCCAUCUCUCUUAUGUACUCUCAUGGAUUUUUUCAUAUUUUAAUAUGAAUGUGCCUAAAGAACUUAUGCUCGCUUAAUCUAUGUGUACAUAUUUGAAGAAAUCAUUCUUGUUUAACUGCUGAUCUUUUAUAAAACUAUUGCUAGUCAUAAUGAAUUUCUAUAACCUGAAAGUUGAUAUAACAGCACAUUGAGCACUUUAAAAACUAAGAAACUUGAAAAUAAUUUUAGUUUUUACUUUUACAUAGUGUGUUCUAGACUACUGCAUUUUUGACUACAUAAACCUACCCGAGCUCUUACAAGUGCAGAAUUGUGAGAUAGAGGUUUUGUGAUGGAAAACAUACACACAGGGAAAAAUACCAAACUGAGCAAUAUCAAGUUCACAGCUCACAUCUUAGCCAGUACAAAGAAACUUUCACAUGGGGUGAAUAUUAUAAAGACUUGAAUUUGGGACUCACUUGAUACUGUAUGAUAUAUAAAUUAAUCAUCCCACUGUAAUAACUUGGACAUCUUCAAAUAGUUGGGCUUAUGAAAAACUUGACUAAGACAUUUUAUUUUAUCCUUUAUGUAAGUGUGAAAAAAGUUCUGGUCAUAUAAAUAUCACUGUAGAAUGCAUGUAUGUGAACUCUAUGAAGUAUGGUGGCCUUUUGUGUUUCAGAGUACUCAAGUUGUGCAUUUGAUUUAUAUAAAUGCAAAAUGAACUCAGGUCAUUUUGAAAUUAAGAUUUUUUUGUUUAACUUUAAAGCUAGCUCCCCCAACUUUACAUAUUUUUGGGGGGAAAAAUGCCUAAAAACCUUAGCCUACAGACUCUCACAAAUGCCAAAGAUUUUCAAGGAAAUUCAUAUUAUAUAUUUGAAAAAUGAUUUAUCAACAUUAUCUACCAAAAGAAAUUAUUUUUCCCCUUUGGGAAGAUAUCAUUAACCUGAAAUGUGAGAAUCUGAUCCCUAAAUUCUAUUUCUACCUGUACUAUUAAACUCAAUCUUGAAACUGAGUGUGGUUGUUUAUGUGCCUUAGUUUCUCCACUCGUACACAAUUUCCUAUAAAAGUUGUUUAAACACCAACCAAAAUUUACUAUAUGUAUUUAUUCUCUUUAAAGAUGACUUCUUAAUUUACAUUUGGUUCUCACCCUCUAAAAAUUUAUAGUUUAGGAAGUAACUGAAAACAGAAUUUUGAGAAACAUGUUUUCCUCACAAAAUAUAAUCUGAUUUUCCUAUCUUGUAUUCAUGCAGAAAAUUGGGAAAAAUAGUGUAUUGUCUUGUGCCAUUUUGCAACAUGAGUUUCUCGGAAAAAAGAUCACUUUCAAUGGCAAUAUUUUCUUAAAUAAUUCAAGAUGGGUGUGAGUACCUAUCUUAUUAGUUUAGUGCUGUAUUAACCAUUUGUGAAUUAUUUCUUGUUUAAAGGAAGUUGUAAAACAAAUUUAAGAUUAUAAAUGGAAUACAUGAAUAAAAUAAGCCUUAGAAUAGAAACCACACAUAAAGUUGUCAUUUGGGGUUGAUAAUUAACAUAGGUGUUUUAUUCUCUCACCACCUUAGUACCAGAACUAAAUACCAUUUAGUUCUCAGAAAUCUUAUCAAUAUUGUUCUGUUUACCUACUUAUGAUAAAUCUGCAGAUAACCACUUGAACCAGGCAAAUACACUGAAGGUAAUUUCUUUUUUAGCUUUGAAUUUGUCAUGACCAUUUUAGUCUUGCAGAUAGCAGGGCAGCCCCUUGGGUCACCAGCCAUCCCCUUUAAAAAGCCUUCUUUUUACAACGUUAAAGUUAAUUGUAAGAACAAGCAGGAUUUGCAGGUUGCUUUACCAGCAUGAAUCUCAUUUUCCUGGCCGAAAAUCUGAGACUGUGAAAUUAUUCCAUAGGAAAGUUAAUUUUAUUUUGCAGAGAUAGCCUCUUAGAUAAAAGUUGUUGAAGUGUCUUUAAAAUUGCUAUCAUGAGCAAAAUUGUUUGGUUGCUAUAAUGCUUAUUUUUCUGUAUUUGUUUACACAUUAAAUUCUUACAAAA
Non-coding RNA from Callithrix jacchus (white-tufted-ear marmoset), 3181 nucleotides. The record is from RefSeq and is a predicted model, not a curated record. Lineage: Eukaryota; Metazoa; Chordata; Mammalia; Primates; Cebidae.